GUGCAAAGAAAACUGUAGAAAAAGACUGCAGCUUUUUACUACUGGCAAUUAAAAACAGCUGUGAGAGGCAAAGGGUUAACAUCAGCUCUGCAUACUAUACCACCAUGUCUACAGCUUGUACCUUGCCCUUGAUCAACUACCCCGUAUUUCCUACACUUACCAAGAUUUAAUUCUCUUGAUGAAUGACAGGUGCUGUGGGAGAGAGUGAAAGAAGAAAUGAGAGGAAUGAAGGGCAGUUUUAGAGCAAGAGAAAAAAUGAAACAGGAAAAGUCUACAGAAGUCUCUAAACACAGCAUGCAGAAGUGACAGACAUAACAGAUGAAAGAGGAAAUAAUUGAGAAAAGUCUUUGAGGAACUGUAACAUUCAGGAUCGUAUUCUAUAUGGAUGUGAGAGAUUUGUGAAGAAUUGUGCUGUUGUUGCUAUUGCACAAGUUUAACCUACUGUGCUUUGAAAUCAGCUGGAGCAUUAACUGAGCUACUUCUCCUCCUUCUGCUGGCUGCUGCAAAUCCCCACAGUCUUUCAAUUAGGGAGCUACAUGUGCUGAAUUUCCCAUGCAGGAUGAAAGAGCAAUGGGUCUGUACUGUGCUGUCCGCUCAGGAGGCAGAGAGAACGGCACCCUGGUGAAAAAGCAAACCUAAAAAGCAGUGGAUGGUACUGUGCUACUGCCAGCACAAUUUGUAAUAGCAUGUUACAUCAUUUUUCCUGGGUUUGUAUGUGCCUCAUAAAGUCUUCAAAAUGAUCAGAUGAAUGAAAAGUGUUCUAAUCUGUAAGAAAUAUCAUAGGAUCAUGGAAUCAUCAAGAAAAGUCCUCCAGGAUCAUCCAGUCCAACCAUUCACUUACCUCCAAUAUUUCCCCACUAACCCAAGCCCCGUAGUAUAAGAUCUGAACAUUUCUGUUUAUCUGAAUGUGUACUUGAUCUCACACUGGUAAAGGAAAAAAA
Non-coding RNA from Coturnix japonica (Japanese quail), 941 nucleotides. The record is from RefSeq and is a predicted model, not a curated record. Lineage: Eukaryota; Metazoa; Chordata; Aves; Galliformes; Phasianidae.